This 979-nucleotide ribosomal RNA is filed under the name Klebsiella pneumoniae. RNAcentral describes it as "bacterial SSU rRNA". It matches the Rfam family "Bacterial small subunit ribosomal RNA", at positions 38 to 1010 of the family's 1533-position model. Lineage: Bacteria; Pseudomonadati; Pseudomonadota; Gammaproteobacteria; Enterobacterales; Enterobacteriaceae. The record is from RNAcentral.
GGGGGGGCAGGGCUACCAUGCAAGUCGAGCGGUAGCACAGAGAGCUUGCUCUCGGGUGACGAGCGGCGGACGGGUGAGUAAUGUCUGGGAAACUGCCUGAUGGAGGGGGAUAACUACUGGAAACGGUAGCUAAUACCGCAUAAUGUCGCAAGACCAAAGUGGGGGACCUUCGGGCCUCAUGCCAUCAGAUGUGCCCAGAUGGGAUUAGCUAGUAGGUGGGGUAACGGCUCACCUAGGCGACGAUCCCUAGCUGGUCUGAGAGGAUGACCAGCCACACUGGAACUGAGACACGGUCCAGACUCCUACGGGAGGCAGCAGUGGGGAAUAUUGCACAAUGGGCGCAAGCCUGAUGCAGCCAUGCCGCGUGUGUGAAGAAGGCCUUCGGGUUGUAAAGCACUUUCAGCGGGGAGGAAGGCGAUGAGGUUAAUAACCUUGUCGAUUGACGUUACCCGCAGAAGAAGCACCGGCUAACUCCGUGCCAGCAGCCGCGGUAAUACGGAGGGUGCAAGCGUUAAUCGGAAUUACUGGGCGUAAAGCGCACGCAGGCGGUCUGUCAAGUCGGAUGUGAAAUCCCCGGGCUCAACCUGGGAACUGCAUUCGAAACUGGCAGGCUAGAGUCUUGUAGAGGGGGGUAGAAUUCCAGGUGUAGCGGUGAAAUGCGUAGAGAUCUGGAGGAAUACCGGUGGCGAAGGCGGCCCCCUGGACAAAGACUGACGCUCAGGUGCGAAAGCGUGGGGAGCAAACAGGAUUAGAUACCCUGGUAGUCCACGCCGUAAACGAUGUCGAUUUGGAGGUUGUGCCCUUGAGGCGUGGCUUCCGGAGCUAACGCGUUAAAUCGACCGCCUGGGGAGUACGGCCGCAAGGUUAAACUCAAAUGAAUUGACGGGGGCCCGCACAAGCGGUGGAGCAUGUGGUUUAAUUCGAUGCACGCGAAGAACCUUACCUGGUCUUGACUCCCCGGACUUUCCAAAGAUGAUUG